RNAcentral lists this ribosomal RNA (128 nucleotides) under uncultured bacterium. RNAcentral's name for it is "partial 16S ribosomal RNA". It matches the Rfam family "Bacterial small subunit ribosomal RNA", at positions 1357 to 1482 of the family's 1533-position model. The record is from RNAcentral.
CCGGGGUGAAUACGUUCCCGGGCCUUGUACACACCGCCCGUCACACCACGAAAGUCGGCAACACCCGAAGCCGGUGGCCCAACCCGUAAGGGGGGGAGCCGUCGAAGGUGGGGUCGGUGAUUGGGGUG